UUGGAUACAAUGACAUCAUUUUAAAAAUGCGUCCUUGUAUUAUACUUAGGACGUUUGCAGUUUUUAUCAAAACACGGAGAGAAAGCAUGGACGCCCAUCCAGUAAAACAAGGACGUAAUUAAGACAAAGGCGCCUCCAAGUUUGGUAUAACAUCACAGGUUCGAUUCGCUAUACCCAAACAUAGAGAACAAUAAUAUGAUCGAGGUAUAAAUAUAAGUCGACUCCCAAAUCACAGCACUCUGCACCAAAAUUGAAAAAGGAAACCCUAAAUUUUCACUUGCCCGGGUUCUUCAAAUUUUCCCUCUUCAAGUUUCAGCUUCCCACCAUGGAAUCUCACCAUAUUCACUUUAGAAUUCACCCCGUUCAUUUACUCAAACCCAGGUAUCUUCUCUUUGAGCAGAAAAAAGAAGAAAAGAAACCGAGUUUUAUCGAUGUGCUCUGCUGCUCAAUCACCCAUCGCGCAUCACUGACUUCGAUCUAUAGCUUUUCUUCCUUGCAUGGUUUUCUUCUGCUGUUCUCAAGUGCUUAUGGAAGAUAGGCUGUCUCUGAUUCGAGUAUGCUCAUAUAGUUCUCUACUCUAAAGGCAUGAUGUUUCUGAGCUGGAGCAAAAGCUUAAGAACAAUCAAAGAUACUCUCAAGUCUUCAACAAAAGGUUGAUGAUUUGGCAUCAAAGUUAACUGAGAGAGGUGGUUACAUGGACCAUUGAAGCUAUGUGACGCACCAGGAAUAAGAGGUGCCUACGGGUGUAUGUCAAUAAGGAUAUAGGCAUUGAAAAAGGGAACAUCUACAAUCAUUUUGUAAGUGAUGCAACUGGAGGAGCAAUUGUUAUGCAAACAGAGAUAGGUACUCCAGCUGAUCCCUUCCCAGCAAGCAUUGCAUAAUUGGUUCUUAGAGAAAGUGAAAAAGGUUGUUUCGUGCUCUUGUGUUGUUGUUAAAGUGUCACAAGGCAUUGUGAUUGCUAGAGGUCCAUUUGGAACUGUAUACCAUGGUCUGUGGGAUGGAUCAGUACUUCUACGCAUCAAUUUUAGCUUCAUGAGUAUUAAAAACUGAAAAGACAUGCUAAGCAGCAGCUUGAGUUUCUUCAGGUGUUUCCUCUUUGUCAUCAGUCUAUUUACAUGUUUCUUGCUCAUGAUGCUCCUCUAGAUAAACUACAUUUAGGUGGUUCCAGACUUCCAGUGUUAUAGAUAAAUUCUUCAGUAUUUGAUCUCUUUGGUCUAGGCAUUUGAAUUAGUACGUUGCUUCAUGUUGUCAAUAGAUUAGAUUACAUAAGUUUAUAAGGAAGAAAAUCUGAAAGAUGGUGACUGAAGAUAUAUAUUGAAGAUUAGGUCAAGUAUAUAUGUCUAUUGUCAUCUAGGAUUACAUAAGAUUAGAACGUAUAACUAGGAAUUAGUUACUGGAAUGUGCUUGUAGUUAAGUAUAUUGUAACGAGUAAUAGAUACAAUGACAUUUGUCUUGAGAUUGUAAAGAUGAUUUGUAUGUAAAUGUCUUCUUUUUGUUUCAAGGACAAUUUUUUUUUGUGUCCUAUAAUAGAUAUAAGGACGUUUUUUUAGCGUCCUAAUAUACAUUAGAUGACCCUUUUCUUAUAUUUAAGGACGCUUCAAAAGUGUCCUCAUAUACAUUAGAGGACGCUCUUCUAAUGUCCUUAAAGACAUUAGAGGACACUUUUCAAGUGUCCUUAAAGACAUUAGAUGACAUUUUUUUUUUAGAUUAGAGGACGUUUUUCUAGCGUCCUUAUAGAUAUUAGAGGACGUUUUUCGAACGUCUUCUUAAGUGACUUACAAUGACUCCCUGAUAGAUGACAUUUUUUUUGCGUGUCAUCUAAAGUUUUUGAAGACGUUUUUCGAAUGUCCUUAAAUGCUUUUUUUGUAGUAGUGACUCGGUCUUCCCUCUAAC
Rosa rugosa (rugosa rose) is the source of this 1893-nucleotide long non-coding RNA. RefSeq lists it as uncharacterized. Lineage: Eukaryota; Viridiplantae; Streptophyta; Magnoliopsida; Rosales; Rosaceae. The record is from RefSeq and is a predicted model, not a curated record. The transcript has 10 exons.